Molecule: transfer RNA, 70 nt
Filed under: Escherichia coli
Lineage: Bacteria; Pseudomonadati; Pseudomonadota; Gammaproteobacteria; Enterobacterales; Enterobacteriaceae
Description: tRNA-Lys
Rfam family: tRNA
About the family: Transfer RNA (tRNA) molecules are approximately 80 nucleotides in length.
Source: RNAcentral
GGUCGUUAGCUCAGUUGGUAGAGCAGUUGACUUUUAAUCAAUUGGUCGCAGGUUCGAUUAGCGUACUACC